AACGGAGGGUGCAAGCGUUGUUCGGAAUUACUGGGCGUAAAGCGCGUGCAGGUGGUUUUCUAAGUUUCGUGUGAAAUCCCUCGGCUCAACCGAGGAACUGCGCGGAAAACUGGAAAGCUAGAAUACGGGAGAAGUGGGCGGAAUUCCCAGUGUAGAGGUGAAAUUCGUAGAGAUUGGGAGGAACACCGGCGGCGAAAGCGGCUCACUAGACCGAUAUUGACGCUCAUACGCGAGAGCGUGGGUAGCAAACAGG
This 253-nucleotide ribosomal RNA is filed under the name uncultured bacterium. Its description in RNAcentral is "partial 16S ribosomal RNA". It matches the Rfam family "Bacterial small subunit ribosomal RNA", at positions 524 to 776 of the family's 1533-position model. The record is from RNAcentral.